RNAcentral lists this non-coding RNA (24 nucleotides) under Cricetulus griseus (Chinese hamster). The record is from RNAcentral. Lineage: Eukaryota; Metazoa; Chordata; Mammalia; Rodentia; Cricetidae.
CCCAUCAGAUCGACCCUGUUGAUC